UAUCAUGGUGUACCUUUUGACUUAUUGGUGAACAUUCAAACUGGAAUUGAGCUGGGUGUCUUUAUAAUGUUUAUGGGUAGUGUGUCGUGUACCUGUGUGAUGGCUCAGUACUACUAGAUGGAUACCUGGCAAAGGUUCAGACCAUGGGCAUUAGUGCUUACCUACCAGGAAAGGGAAUAUAUAAAGCUGAUACGAGGGCCGUUAUUGAAUAUUGCACAUCCAAGCAUUAUUCCCUUCCAUGGGCCAUACGGGAGAUUUAUUCUUUUUCAGUAAUGAAUACUUGGGAAGGAAAAAUAAGUACUUGAAAAUUGCUUCCAAAAUUCAAAUUAGCCCAACCCCUAAGUGAACCUUAAGUGGUAACUGUUUUAAAAGGAAGUAGAAAAGUUAUAUCAGUAAAUGUAAAUGAAAUCAACUUUUAUUUUAAAAAACAGUUCUUUUUUGGGGCGCCUGGGUGGCUCAGUCGUUAAGCGUCUGCCUUCGGCUCAGGUCAUGAUCCCAGGGUCCUGGGAUCGAGCCCCGCAUCGGGCUCUCUGCUCCACGGGAAGCCUGCUUCUCUCUCUCUCCCACUCCCCCUGCUUGUGUUCCCUCUCUCGCUGUGUCUCUCUCUGUCAAAGAAAUAAAUAAAAUCUUUAAAAAAUAAUAAAAUAAAAUAAAUAAAAAACUUCUUUUAGAUUAGAUCUUGAAGCAACACUUAAAAUGACUUUAAAGAGACACACCUAAAACAAAUUGAUUCAGAAUAUCUGGGAAAAAAAAAGAUGGGCAAAGGUAUGUCAAAGAAAUGCAAACAAAGGAAAGGAGGGGUUGCACUUCUAAUGUCAGACAAGUUUGGAUUCAAAUGAAAAAGCAUUAAGUAAGAAAAAGGAGAGCAUUGUAAAUAGCUAUUCACACUGAAGUUAAAAUAUAUAUAUGCCAAAAAGAACAUGACUAUCAUCCAUAAGACGAAAACAUUAGGAGAUACAAGGUGGAAUCAACAGAAAUACAUUACUUGUAGGAGACUUUAAUUUCCAUCUUUUAUUUCAUAAGAGGUCACAUAGAAAACAGGGAAGGAUCUAGAUUUCAAUAGCAUAGUCAUCUACCCUGAAACAGAAAACAUACCUUUUCAAGUGCCUGUAGAACACUUAGAAACAUUGCCUAUAAAGAAAUUGGCCACAAAGAAAACCUCAGUAAAUUCCCUGAAGUAGAAAGAGUACAGACCAUACUCUCUAAUCAUGAUGCAAAAAGACUAGAAAUGAAUAGUAAAAAUAGAAAAUGAAAAGACCUGGGGUGCCUGGGUGGCUCAGUUGGUUGAGCAGCUGCCUUUGGCUCAGGUCAUGAUCCCAGAGUCCUGGGAUCGAGGCCCGCAUCGGGCUCCCUGCUCAGCAGGGAGCCUGCUUCUCCCUUUCCCUCUGCCUGCCACUCUGCCUACUUGUGCUCUGUAUCUCUCUGUCAAAUAAAUAAAUAAAAAAUAUCUUUAAAAAAAAAAUGUAAAGACCUUAUAAACUGGACAUUUUAGAACUAUUUCAUAACUCUUGGUUCCAAGAGGAAUUCAAACCCAUUUAUAAGCCUAGAAAUCAUUAUCAACAGUUCUUUACAAUGGUAAUAAGCAAUCCCAGUGCCCAGAUUGUGAUCCAAAAAUACCAUUUCCUGCUAAAAGAAACUAAAAUGUAAAGAAGUGAUUAAUUCCGGGGGCGCCUGGGUGGUUUAGCCCCUUAGGCAUCUGCCUUUGGCUCAGGUCUUGAUCCUAGUGUCCUGGGAUCGAGCGCCACAUCAUGCUCCCUGCUCAGUGGGGAGCCUGCUUCUCCCUCUCCCUCUACCCCCCCCCCCCCCCCACUCAUGCUCAUCCUCACUUGCUCUCUCUGUCUCUCUGCACUCUCUCUCAAAUAAAUAAAGUCUUUAAAAAAAAUUAAUUCCAGGUCUGGGGCAGAAAAGGUAUCAGUGAGUAUGGAACAUUUUGUCAGACCAGAUAGCAAGAACUGCUAAGGAAGUUGUGUCAAAAGGACCACUGGACAAAGACAGGAAAAUUUAAGUAUCACUAAAGGGAAUAAUAGCAGUGGAUCCAAACACAUCAAAUAAUGUUUAAAUCAUGAUUUCAUAAUGACUUCCAAACAAAGCUAAUUGGUCAUGUUUGAAAGAUGCUGGGAAACCAGCCCAUUAUUUGAAAGCUGUCAGAUAAAGUGAAAGGAUCAAGUAUUUAUCCUGCCUUUCCUAUGUAAUCUGUAUCAGAGUACCGUAAUAAUGGAUAAGACAGUUUCUCUUUAAGAGGUAUUCCAACAAAUAAAUGAAGAAGGAUAGGGUUAUAACUCCUGAUGAAUGAAAACACCUAGGCCCUGAAAAUCAAUAAUCACAUAAUAAAAAGGAAAACAGACAUUAUAUGCCUCCUGAUGAAGAACACACUACCACCUUAAAGUGGCCUUACCAAAAUGAUAAAACCUCAAUCUGAUGAAGUUUCUAGAUUCAACUACUGAUUUAUAAGAAAUAGGAGAAUAGGCUCUCUGCUCCUCCCUGUUCGACAGACAGCCGCAUCUUCUGGUGCAGUGCCAGCCACGUCCCUGAGACACAAUGGUGAAGGUCAGAGUGAACGGAUUUGGCCAUAUUGGGUGCCUGAUCACCAGGGCUGCUUUUAACUCUGGCAAAGUGGAUGUUGUUGCCAUCAAUGACCCCUUCAUUGACCUCAAUUACAUGGUCUACAUUUUCCAGUAUGAUUCCACCCAUGGCAAAUUCCACGGCACAGUCAAGGCUGAGAAUGGGAAGCUUGUCAUCAGUGGAAAGUCCAUCUCCCAUCUUCCAGGAGCGAGAUCCCGCCAGCAUCAAAUGGGGUGAUGCUGGUGCUGAGUAUGUUGUGGAGUCCACUGGGGUCUUCACCACCAUGGAGAAGGCUGGGGCUCACUUGAAGGGCAGGGCCAAGAGGGUCAUCAUCUCUGCUCCUUCUGCCAGUGCCCCCAUGUUCAUGAUGGGUGUGAACCAUGAGAAGUAUGACAACUCCCUCGAGAUUGUCAGCACUGCCUCCUGCACCACCAACUGCUUGGCUCCUCUGGCCAAGGUCAUCCAUGACAACUUCGGCAUUGUGGAGGGACUCAUGACCACCAUCCAUGCCACCACUGCCACCCAGAAGACCGUGGACGUCCCCUCUGGGAAGCUGUGGCGCGACGGCCGAGGGGCUGCCCAGAACAUCAUCCCUGCUUCUACUGGCACUGCCAAGGCUGUGGGCAAGGUCAUCCCUGAGCUGAACGGGAAGCUCACUGGUAUGGCCUUCCGUGUCCCCACCCUCAACGUGUCCGUCGUGGAUCUGACCUGUUGCCUGGAGAAAGCUGCCAAAUACAACGACAUCAAGAAGGUGUGAAGCAGGCAUCAGAGGGCCCCCUCAAGGGCAUCCUGGGGUACACUGAGGACCAGGUUGUCUCCUGCGACUUUAACAGUGACACCCACUCCUCCACCUUCGAUGCCGGGGCUGGCAUUGCUUUCAACAACCACUUUGUCAAGCUCAUUUCCUGGUAUGACAAUGAAUUUGGCUACAGCAACCGGGUGGUGGACCUUAUGGUCUACAUGGCCUCCAAGGAGUAAGAGCCCCCUGGACCACCAGCCCCAGCGAGAGCAAGAGGAAGAGAGAGGCCCUCAGCUGCUGGGGAGUCCCUGCCCCAACUUAUCCCCCAAAACACUGAGAAUCUCCCGAGCUCCACCAUUUCCAUCCCAGACCCCCCUGAAGAAGGGGAGGUCAUCAAUAAAGUAUACUGUACCCAGCCAAAAAAAAAAAAAAAAAAGAAAUAGAA
Molecule: RNA transcript, 3746 nt
Organism: Mirounga angustirostris (Northern elephant seal)
Lineage: Eukaryota; Metazoa; Chordata; Mammalia; Carnivora; Phocidae
Gene name: glyceraldehyde-3-phosphate dehydrogenase-like
Exons: 1
Source: RefSeq, a predicted model, not a curated record